Long non-coding RNA from Salvelinus sp. IW2-2015, 251 nucleotides. RefSeq lists it as uncharacterized. The record is from RefSeq and is a predicted model, not a curated record. NCBI's taxonomy places the organism in Eukaryota, Metazoa, Chordata, Actinopteri, Salmoniformes, Salmonidae.
AGGGACAGCAGUUGUCUUUGGUCCCCAUUCUCUAGUAGCAUCGUUCUGCUGCUAUGGUGCCGAUCCAUACUAUGCACCCUCAGCCUGAUGAGGGGACACCUAAACAAAGUGACCAGCCGACCAAGAUGCUAAUCGUGCUAGACAGUGAGGACAGUGAGGAAGAGUCCAUUGAAGAGCAGCAGCCGGCUACGCCAUGGAAUGACCUGUGUAUUAUAGAUCGCGUAGGCUUCAACAGUGCUAAGAUGUCAGAG